RNAcentral lists this unclassified non-coding RNA (228 nucleotides) under Hevea brasiliensis (rubber tree). The record is from RNAcentral. Lineage: Eukaryota; Viridiplantae; Streptophyta; Magnoliopsida; Malpighiales; Euphorbiaceae.
AUGAAACGAGGGUGGAAGAAGUAGCACAGGCUUUGGUGGACUGUGAUAAGAUUCAACAACAAUUAAAAUUUAAUUUACAACAAGCAUAGACUAAAAUGAUUCAAUAAGCAAACAAGCACCGUCGAGAUGUUUAAUAUAACAUUGGGGACACUGUUUCUCAAGCGACGUCCUCACCGCUAGCACUCUCUCCAUACUAGGGUCAAUCAAAAGCUCUCAGCCCGCUAUUAU